UAAUCCCACAUGUAAUGAUUCGGCCCCACUAGCAAUAAUACUGUGGGCUCGUUUGGUUGAAAGUCGGAAUCAGAAUCAGAAUCGAAAUCGAAAUAAACUGGAAUCAGAAUCGGAAUGACUCAUUAUCUAAUUCUGUUUGGUUCAUUAUCUGAAUCGGAAUUGGAAUAAAUCAUUCCCAUUGUCGGUAUUUGGUUCAGGUAGAUAUAAAAAACAUAAUCAAAUUAAUAUACUAACUUUAUCUUUAUAAUAUAUUAUUUUAAAUUCAAAUUGAAAAUUAAAUAUUGAAAAUUUACAUCAAAAUUUUAA
This 306-nucleotide long non-coding RNA is filed under the name Ananas comosus (pineapple). RNAcentral's name for it is "long non-coding RNA (ACOM_LNC023910)". The record is from RNAcentral. Lineage: Eukaryota; Viridiplantae; Streptophyta; Magnoliopsida; Poales; Bromeliaceae.